GUCGAUCAAUCCCUUCUUCCCCACCCACGGACGGAAAGUGAAUUUGAUUUUGUUAGCUAAAUUUUGCUUUUAUCAUGUCAUCUUUCUUGAAUGGCUGGGUCGAAUCUAUUUUUGACAGAAACGGUGAAUAGAAAUGUCUUUACAAUUAUGUGGGAAGACUGGGGAAAGUGCCUUGUCAGUUUUUUCCCCUCCUCUAACCUUAAUCUGGUAGUCCAUUGAUGUGUAAUGGUGUGCUUUUUCGUGGACUGAUUAUUCUCAUACUGGCUUCAGUCUUUGUGUAAUUAACUUCCUUCUCAUUGAUUUCAGUUUUCUGGCGUGAUUGUUAUUUAUUUGCUCCAAUCUGGGUGUAAUUUACAAAUAAUUCAUUGCAUUUAGCAUUUGGAUCGACA
Molecule: long non-coding RNA, 389 nt
Filed under: Olea europaea subsp. europaea
Lineage: Eukaryota; Viridiplantae; Streptophyta; Magnoliopsida; Lamiales; Oleaceae
Source: RNAcentral